RNAcentral lists this ribosomal RNA (1272 nucleotides) under uncultured Psychrobacter sp. RNAcentral describes it as "bacterial SSU rRNA". It matches the Rfam family "Bacterial small subunit ribosomal RNA", at positions 154 to 1407 of the family's 1533-position model. Lineage: Bacteria; Pseudomonadati; Pseudomonadota; Gammaproteobacteria; Moraxellales; Moraxellaceae. The record is from RNAcentral.
GAACUCGAAUUAAUACCGCAUACGACCUACGGGAGAAAGGGGGCAACUUGUUGCUCUCGCUAUUAGAUGAGCCUAAGUCGGAUUAGCUAGAUGGUGGGGUAAAGGCCUACCAUGGCGACGAUCUGUAGCUGGUCUGAGAGGAUGAUCAGCCACACCGGGACUGAGACACGGCCCGGACUCCUACGGGAGGCAGCAGUGGGGAAUAUUGGACAAUGGGGGCAACCCUGAUCCAGCCAUGCCGCGUGUGUGAAGAAGGCCUUUUGGUUGUAAAGCACUUUAAGCAGUGAAGAAGACUCCAUGGUUAAUACCCAUGGACGAUGACAUUAGCUGCAGAAUAAGCACCGGCUAACUCUGUGCCAGCAGCCGCGGUAAUACAGAGGGUGCAAGCGUUAAUCGGAAUUACUGGGCGUAAAGCGAGCGUAGGUGGCUUGAUAAGUCAGAUGUGAAAUCCCCGGGCUUAACCUGGGAACUGCAUCUGAUACUGUUAGGCUAGAAUAGGUGAGAGGAAGGUAGAAUUCCAGGUGUAGCGGUGAAAUGCGUAGAGAUCUGGNANGNGNAANUACCGAUGGCGAAGGCAGCCUUUCUGGCAUCAUAUUGACACUGAGGUUNCGAAANGCGUGGGUAGCAAANAGGAUUNAGAUACCCNUGGUAGUCCACGCCGUAAACGAUGUCUACUAGUCGUUGGGUCCCUUGAGGACUUAGUGACGCAGCUAACGCAAUAAGUAGACCGCCUGGGGAGUACGGCCGCAAGGUUAAAACUCAAAUGAAUUGACGGGGGCCCGCACAAGCGGUGGAGCAUGUGGUUUAAUUCGAUGCAACGCGAAGAACCUUACCUGGUCUUGACAUAUCUAGAAUCCUGCAGAGAUGCGGGAGUGCCUUCGGGAAUUAGAAUACAGGUGCUGCAUGGCUGUCGUCAGCUCGUGUCGUGAGAUGUUGGGUUAAGUCCCGCAACGAGCGCAACCCUUGUCCUUAGUUACCAGCGGGUUAAGCCGGGAACUCUAAGGAUACUGCCAGUGACAAACUGGAGGAAGGCGGGGACGACGUCAAGUCAUCAUGGCCCUUACGACCAGGGCUACACACGUGCUACAAUGGUAGGUACAGAGGGCAGCUACACAGCGAUGUGAUGCGAAUCUCAAAAAGCCUAUCGUAGUCCAGAUUGGAGUCUGCAACUCGACUCCCAUGAAAUAAGAAUUCGCUAGUAAUCGCGGAUCCAGAAUGCCGCGGUGAAAUACGUUUCCCGGGCCUUUGUACACACCGCCCGUCACACCCAUG